This 253-nucleotide ribosomal RNA is filed under the name uncultured bacterium. Its description in RNAcentral is "partial 16S ribosomal RNA". It matches the Rfam family "Bacterial small subunit ribosomal RNA", at positions 524 to 776 of the family's 1533-position model. The record is from RNAcentral.
AACGUAGGACGCAAGCGUUAUCCGGCGUUACUGGGCGUAAAGCGCGGGCAGGCGGCCUCGCAAGUCUGAUGUGAAAGCACUCUGCUCAACAGAGUGAUGCCAUUGGAAACUACGAGGCUGGAGUCUGGCAGAGGUAGGCGGAAUUCCGGGUGGAGUGGUGAAAUGCGUAGAGAUCCGGAGGAACACCAGAGGCGAAGGCGGCCUACUGGGCCAGUACUGACGCUGAGCCGCGAAAGCCAGGGGAGCGAACGGG